Unclassified non-coding RNA from Erinaceus europaeus (western European hedgehog), 308 nucleotides. Its record names the gene 7SK. It matches the Rfam family "7SK RNA". Rfam says of the family: 7SK was discovered as an abundant small nuclear RNA in the mid-70s but a possible function has only recently been suggested. Two independent studies have found that 7SK RNA binds the CDK9/cyclin T complex (known as elongation factor P-TEFb). P-TEFb activates transcription by phosphorylating the C-terminal domain of RNA polymerase II. Lineage: Eukaryota; Metazoa; Chordata; Mammalia; Eulipotyphla; Erinaceidae. The record is from Ensembl.
AAAGCUGAGGGCGAUCUGGCUGCGACAUCUGUCACCCCACUGAUCGCCAGGGUUGAUUCGGCUGAUCUGUCUGGCUAGACGGGUGUCCCCUUCCUCCCUCACUGCUCCAUGUGCGUCCCUCCCGAAGCUGUAGGCUCGAUCGAAGAGGACGGCCUUCCCCGAAUAGAGACGGACAGGUGUCCGGUGGAGGGUGUACAAGUAACUGCGCUCCCCUGCUAGAACCUCCAGACAAGCUCUUUCUACAACUCUUUUUUUCCGCUAAGCUCCCAGGACUGUGUUAGCUAUAUUAUUUCCCACAUAUUAGCAAA